UUUUCUUUUUUUGCACCUUUUUCUUAACCUCCUGACCUGCCUCACAAACGCGGGUGCUGUGCAGCUGUGAAAAUGAAAUGGAGCAGAGGUCCGGAAGAACUGAGCUUUUCCUUCUGUUACAACCGUGUGCUCAAAGCUACCCAAGAAAGAAGACGCGACUGUGUGACUUGGAUGAAAAGCCUUGGCAAGGGGCCUUGAAGAGGCCACUACAGAGAGAACCUGAAAGCCACCGUUCUGAAAGGUUGUCAUGUCACUGCAGAAACAGCUAUCGGAGGAGGAGGCCUUUGGAGGAAAUGCUGAGAUCAGUCCCAAGCACUUGACCAAGGCACUGACCAAGGACGGUGUCAGCAGAAGGAGCUGUACAGCAAGGUCAUCAAAGCAAUCGCAAUGUUUAUGGCUUCUCAGUUCUCCAGGAAUAUAUGGAGGUAUGCACACACAGUGCUAUUACCUUGGGGAAACUAUUAGAGGUUGCUUCACACUAUGAUAUGGACUUUUAUCCAUCAAGAGUAAUUACCUCUAUCUUGAUGAGAAAUGAGAAGAUGAUAGUGAGAAUUACUGCAUCACAUCAGAUGCCUCUGAAAAUCUCCUAGUAAUGCUCAGAGAGAGGUGACAAUGGCAGGACCAUCACUGCCUCAACUGGAAUGAGAGCUCCAGAACUCUUGUGGACAUAUCCCAAGGUUUCAACUAGCAAGAACCCUGGUGGCUCUACCUGGCACUGCCUCCUCCAUCAGACUCCCAGAAGCUGCACUGACAUCUGUCCGUACCCUGAAUAUCAUGAGCCUGUUAUAAGCACAAGUCACAGCGUAAGUGUGCAACUUCACAUUUGUGAUUCUUUUGUCGUUUUUUUUUUCCUGUGUGAAAGUAUGACAGCAUUGGUUUAAAGAGAGAAAACAUUCUGCGUAGAUACUGAAGCUGGUUGUGGGAGUUCUCCCAGCAGAAGGUUUGCAUGGUGGCUGAAAGCAUAAAAUUAUAGCAGAUCAUCUCCAUGGCAGUUCAGAGUAAUGCUGUGCUGGUAAGAAUGACGCUGUGAGAUGGAGGAUAAAGUUUAACUGUUUUAUGGCUGGCUGAGUAAAAUUUCAUUGAAUGACAGGCAUUUUCUAUGGCUUGGUUGAAGUGUUAUGGCUGUGGUAGCUUUAUUUUUUCCUGUGGGCCUCUGGGUUUUACUAAAUUCAAAGAUGCUCAAGGAUUUGGAGGCAACUGGAUUUAGCAAAUUGGUCUCUUGAGAUGUUCCGUUAAUUCCUGCUACUCUUGUUGCGUGUGACCCAUUCUAUCUGCAAGCUGAAGGAUCUCUGUUGGCUGUUGGAAGGGUUGUUGAUGGAUUUCCAGUUGUCUGGGUUCAUCAAUCAAACCUUCG
RNAcentral lists this long non-coding RNA (1354 nucleotides) under Numida meleagris (helmeted guineafowl). RNAcentral describes it as "lncRNA (ENSNMEG00000000793.1)". Lineage: Eukaryota; Metazoa; Chordata; Aves; Galliformes; Numididae. The record is from RNAcentral.